Molecule: ribosomal RNA, 223 nt
Filed under: Aerococcus urinae
Lineage: Bacteria; Bacillati; Bacillota; Bacilli; Lactobacillales; Aerococcaceae
Description: partial 16S ribosomal RNA
Rfam family: Bacterial small subunit ribosomal RNA
Source: RNAcentral
AAGUGCUUGCACUUCUGACGUUAGCGGCGGACGGGUGAGUAACACGUAAGGAACCUACCGAUAAGCGGGGGACAACAUCCGGAAACGGGUGCUAAUACCGCAUAGGAAAGGCCACCGCAUGGUGACCUUUGGAAAGACGGCUUUGCUGUCACUUAUCGAUGGCCUUGCGGUGCAUUAGCUCGUUGGUGGGGUAACGGCCUACCAAGGCAAUGAUGCAUAGCCG